CUGGGAGAGAAAAAGAGGGAUGGGCAGAUUCGAUCAAAUCCAUGGCUUCAGAUCACAGCUCAAGAAUCUCUUUUAAUGGAGUAAGGCACGUAUUUUUCUUCUUUUACUUUUUCUUUUCCAUCAUUUGGGUAUGGCAUAUUCUUCAUUCAUUAACCCUUUUUUUUUUUUUUUUCUUUUCUAAUUAUUAAUUAAUUACUUAAAGAUACCAAUUGAAAUUAGUUCAACUUCAAGUAAUAAAACUUUGAUUUGAUUUAUGUUAGUUUAUAAUUGUGAAUACAAAUUUAAAUAAAUAUAUUAAGUCAAUAUUAUAAGUUAGUACGCUUUAUCAAAAAAUUAGAGACGAACUUAAUUUUUGUGUGUUAAUUUAAUAACUACGUAGUUGUGGUUAAAAAAAUUAAAAAAUUAAAAACCCAAUUAUUAUAUCAUUUUAAUUUUAAAUUCACGAUGCCAAUUCCUUUUUUUUUUCUUUCUAAAUAAUAUAGAAAUUUUAGAUAAUAAUGAAAAUUUUACACUAAAAAAUUAUCUAUAAAUUAAUAGACUUUGAUCUAGUAUAUAAUUUUUGAGUAAUUUAUUUCAAAUUUUGUUAAAUUUAAAAUAUAUUGUGUAAAUUCCACACAACCUUUUGUGCAUUAGUACUAUUAUUAUUUUUUUCUUUUAAUAAAAUUUACUUUUCUCUGUGAUUAAACUAAAAAAAUAAUUUGUAAAUAAGUUCUAAAAAUUAAAUAUACUUUAUCGUGUAUGUAUAUGUGAUAUCUACCAAAACGACAGAAGAUAAGUUGAGAACCACAUGGUUUCUUGGUCCCCAUUUUACCACAAUUGUUUUUUAUUUAAAAGAGGAAACUAAUUGCAUUAAAGAUUGGAAAUUUUGUUUUCCACAUUUGAAAAUAGUUUAUCGUGUUGGAAUACUUUCUUGGUCUUCUAUUGUUUACAUUUUACAUAUCUACUUUCGUUUUAUUUUUUAAUAAACAAAUUAAAUUAAUUAUAUCAUAUUUAUAACAAGUAUUUAUUCAACUCGUCACCUAAUUGUCAUAUUUAGUCGUUAACAAGAGUGUUUAAGUUAAUGUGAAUGGAAGCACCGACCCAAGAAUUUAUUGGAUGUCGUGAUGGAAUGGUAAGAAACUAUUGCUUGUUUGGUGGAAAAUUAUUUUCAACUUUUAAAUUUUAAAUUUAUAUAAUAAUUUAAUUAAUUUUAAAAUAUUUUUUAAUUUUAUCCUUAAUAUUUGCCCUAUUGAUAAAUUAUUAAAACAUUUAUGGGAGUAAAUAUUUAUGAAGUAUUUUACAUUUCUUUUUUAUUGCAACUUUAUUUAUAUGUAGAUGAUGGUUGGAAAUAAAUUGACGCAUGCUAUAAAUAAUAAUUAUCAAUGACAUUAUAAUUGUAUUUUCAAAGUAAGCUAUUGAUGCAAUUGCGCAUGCUUUGUGAGGGAUCAUUUCCAAUCUUAUGGUAAGAUUCCAAUAAUCUAGAUUUAAACUAUAAAUAAAUAUAUAUAUAUAUAUAUGUAUGUAAGAUAUAAAUUAUAAGUUUUUAUGCUGUUUGGCUUUAUUAUAAUUUUUUUUUAUAAUCUAAUUAAUGUAAUUUAGAGCUUUAUUUCACUCAAAAAAAAUUAGUGCU
Molecule: long non-coding RNA, 1609 nt
Filed under: Carica papaya (papaya)
Lineage: Eukaryota; Viridiplantae; Streptophyta; Magnoliopsida; Brassicales; Caricaceae
Description: long non-coding RNA (CPAP_LNC000498)
Source: RNAcentral